This 797-nucleotide ribosomal RNA is filed under the name uncultured bacterium. RNAcentral's name for it is "bacterial SSU rRNA". It matches the Rfam family "Bacterial small subunit ribosomal RNA", at positions 62 to 903 of the family's 1533-position model. The record is from RNAcentral.
UCGAACGCGUGUAGCAAUACACGAGCGGCGCACGGGUGAGUAAUACGUGGGAACCAACCCAGAGGUUCGGAAUAACCGCGGGAAACUGCGGCUAAUACCGGAUGUCCCCUACGGGGGAAAGAUUUAUCGCCUUUGGACGGGCCCACGUCCGAUUAGCUAGUUGGUGAGGUAACGGCUCACCAAGGCAACGAUCGGUAGCUGGUCUGAGAGGACGACCAGCCACACUGGAACUGAGACACGGUCCAGACUCCUACGGGAGGCAGCAGUGGGGAAUAUUGGGCAAUGGAGGCAACUCUGACCCAGCCAUGCCGCGUGGGUGACGAAGGUCUUCGGAUUGUAAAGCCCUUUCGGCGGGGACGAUGAUGACGGUACCCGCAGAAGAAGCCCCGGCUAACUUCGUGCCAGCAGCCGCGGUAAUACGAAGGGGGCUAGCGUUGUUCGGAAUUACUGGGCGUAAAGGGCGUGUAGGCGGCCCGUUAAGACAGGUGUGAAAUUCCUGGGCUCAACCCAGGACGUGCGCCUGUGACUGGCGGGCUUGAGUCCGGGAGAGGAUGGUGGAACUCCCAGUGUAGAGGUGAAAUUCGUAGAUAUUGGGAAGAACACCCGUGGCGAAGGCGGCCAUCUGGACCGGUACUGACGCUAAGGCGCGACAGCGUGGGGAGCAAACAGGAUUAGAUACCCUGGUAGUCCACGCCGUAAACGAUGAGUGCUAGACGUUGGGAAGCCUAGCUUUUCAGUGUCGCAGCUAACGCAUUAAGCACUCCGCCUGGGGAGUACGGCCGCAAGGUUGAAACUCA